UACGUAGGGGGCUAGCGUUGUCCGGAAUCAUUGGGCGUAAAGCGCGUGUAGGCGGUCCGGUAAGUCCGCUGUGAAAGUCGGGGGCUCAACCCUCGAAUGCCGGUGGAUACUGUCGGGCUAGAGUGCGGAAGAGGCGAGUGGAGUUCCUGGUGUAGCGGUGAAAUGCGCAGAUAUCAGGAGGAACACCAAUUGCGAAGGCAGCUCGCUGGGACGUAACUGACGCUGAGACGCGAAAGCGUGGGGAGCAAACAGG
This 253-nucleotide ribosomal RNA is filed under the name uncultured bacterium. RNAcentral's name for it is "partial 16S ribosomal RNA". It matches the Rfam family "Bacterial small subunit ribosomal RNA", at positions 524 to 776 of the family's 1533-position model. The record is from RNAcentral.